GGACCCGCACAAGUAGUGGAGCAUGUGGUUUAAUUCGAAGAUACGCGCAGAACCUUACCAACACUUGACAUGUUCGUCGCGACUUUAAGAGAUUAAAGUUUUCGGUUCGGCCGGACGAAACACAGGUGCUGCAUGGCUGUCGUCAGCUCGUGUCGUGAGAUGUUGGGUUAAGUCCCGCAACGAGCGCAACCCUCACUUUUAGUUGCCAUCAGUUCGGCUGGGCACUCUAGGGAAACUGCCGGUGACAAGCCGGAGGAAGGUGGGGAUGACGUCAAGUCCUCAUGGCCCUUACGGGCUGGGCUACACACGUGCUACAAUGGCAAUGACAGAGGGAUGCAAAGGGGCGACCCUGAGCUAAUCUCCAAAAAUUGUCUCAGUUCGGAUUGUUCUCUGCAACUCGAGAGCAUGAAGGCGGAAUC
This 419-nucleotide ribosomal RNA is filed under the name uncultured bacterium. RNAcentral describes it as "bacterial SSU rRNA". It matches the Rfam family "Bacterial small subunit ribosomal RNA", at positions 917 to 1333 of the family's 1533-position model. The record is from RNAcentral.